GGGGAUUUAGCUCAGCGGUAGAGCACUUGCCUAGCAAGCACAAGGCCCUGGGUUCAGUCCCCAGCUCCG
Molecule: non-coding RNA, 69 nt
Organism: Rattus norvegicus (Norway rat)
Lineage: Eukaryota; Metazoa; Chordata; Mammalia; Rodentia; Muridae
Source: Rfam